ACAAUCCGUUGUCCGCCUAGGCCUUCUCUGACCUGAGCCCUCAUCCCCAACGAGAUUGUAAAGACCUUGAAGAGAGUCCCUUUAGCCUAUAAGGGCUGAGCAUACAGCAGGGGUCAAGGAGCUGCUUUUUGUUCACUUGUUUGCUGUUUACAUGGGAAAACAGAUCUAAAAAGCAGCUUCCUGUUUUCAGGGAGUUCUUAACCAAAUUCGAAAAUGACAUCUGUAUCCUGUGGGACAAUAGAGUGGAGCGAAGUAUCACUGUUAAUUCAUUCAACAAAUACUUACUGAGCAACUGCUUGUGCUAGACACCAUUCUAGGUGCGGGCGACACAAAAGGCAACAAACCAGGGGCAGCCCUCUUGUCAUAUACCUUCUAAAGCAGGUGACAGAAAAUGAACAAUGUAUAUAAGCCAAUAUAAUUGGAUAAGUGCUGCGAAGAAAACCCAGGUCGGCAGGGGACGGAGAGUGAGAGGGAACCGCUCUCUAGACAAGGCCGUCAGGCAAAGACCCAUGCGGAGCGAAGGAGGGUCCAUGCAGAUCUGCGGGGAAGUCGCUCCAGGCGGGGGAACAGCCGUGCAAAGGCCCUGAGCCAUUUUCCUCUCAGGAGAAAAGACAUCUGCAAAGGUUACUACCAUCCAGAGCUCAGAAGCUCUAAGGCCACAGAAGAGGGAAACUCCAACGACAAAGAAAACAAAAGCGCAGGAACCUCCGCAGACAUGCCUGGGGGAGCCAGACAGACACCUGGCUCUUCAGGAACUGACCUGACCUGGGAGCCUCCACAGAAGGAAUUGGGGGGGUUGGGGGAUGACAAGCUAGCAUUUAUUUUUUUCUCUGCUCCAAGCCCUUUACACACAGUUACCUCACUUCAUCUUCCCCAAUGCUCAUAAAGCUGGUAUCUGAACCUCCACUUUACAAGUGAAGGCAUGAGGCUCAGAGAGAUGAAGCCACUUGCCUGGAGUCACACAGCUAGUGGGGGUUCAAAACGUAUUACUUCUGCCCCCACACCCGCAGCCCUGCCUUUUGGCCAGCCAGUUUUCCAUUACACCAUGCUGUUUCCAUUCUGCUAUUGACAGAAAUGAGAUAAACAAUUUUUUUUUUUUUUUUUUUUUUUACAAAACCCAAACCUCAGGCUGAUCAUAGUUGCACAAGAGUCGAUAUCCAGACCUGAAUCACCAUCUGGCUUUGCCUUCAUUCCUACUUAAAAAAAAA
Molecule: long non-coding RNA, 1208 nt
Organism: Sus scrofa (pig)
Lineage: Eukaryota; Metazoa; Chordata; Mammalia; Artiodactyla; Suidae
Source: RefSeq, a predicted model, not a curated record